GACAGAGGGUGCAAACGUUGUUCGGAUUUACUGGGCGUAAAGCGCGUGUAGGCGGCCUUGCAAGUCGGAUGUGAAAGCCCACGGCUCAACCGUGGAAGUGCAUCCGAAACUGCAUAGCUUGAGUCUCGGAGAGGAAGGUGGAAUGCUUGGUGUAGAGGUGAAAUUCGUAGAGAUGUGGAGGAACACCGAUGGCGAAGGCAACCCCCUGGGACGAUACUGACGCUGAGGCACGAAAGCGUGGGGAGCAAACAGG
RNAcentral lists this ribosomal RNA (253 nucleotides) under uncultured bacterium. Its description in RNAcentral is "partial 16S ribosomal RNA". It matches the Rfam family "Bacterial small subunit ribosomal RNA", at positions 524 to 776 of the family's 1533-position model. The record is from RNAcentral.